GGUUCCAUAGUGUAGCGGUUAUCACGUCUGCUUUACACGCAGAAGGCCCCGGUGGAACCA
RNAcentral lists this transfer RNA (60 nucleotides) under Rattus norvegicus (Norway rat). It matches the Rfam family "tRNA". Rfam says of the family: Transfer RNA (tRNA) molecules are approximately 80 nucleotides in length. The record is from Rfam by way of RNAcentral. Lineage: Eukaryota; Metazoa; Chordata; Mammalia; Rodentia; Muridae.